This 406-nucleotide ribosomal RNA is filed under the name uncultured bacterium. Its description in RNAcentral is "partial 16S ribosomal RNA". It matches the Rfam family "Bacterial small subunit ribosomal RNA", at positions 29 to 526 of the family's 1533-position model. The record is from RNAcentral.
AUUGAACGCUGGCGGCAGGCCUAACACAUGCAAGUCGAGCGAGCGGCGGACGGGUGAGUAAUGUCUGGGAAACUGCGUGAUGGAGGGGGAUAACUACUGGAAACGGUGGCUAAUAUCACAUACGAUCAGAUGUGCCCAGAUGGGGUUAGCUAGUAGGUGGGGUAAUGGCUCACCUAGGCGAAGAUCCCUAGCUGGGCUGAGAGGAUGACCAGCCACACUGGAACGGGGACACGGUCCAGACUCCUACGGGAGGCAGCAGUGGGGAAUAUUGCACAAUGGGCGCAAGCCUGAUGCGGCCAUGCCGCUUGUGUGAAGAAGGCCUUCGGUUUGUAAAGCACUGUCAGCGGGGAGGCGUUACCCGCAGAAGAAGCACCGGCUAACUCCGUGCCAGCAGCCGCGGUAAUAC